UACGUAGGGGGCAAGCGUUGUCCGGAUUUACUGGGUGUAAAGGGAGUGCAGGUGGCAGUACAAGUCAGGAGUGAAAACCCGGGGCUCAACCCCGGGACUGCUCUUGAAACUGUACAGCUUGAGUGCAGGAGGGGCAGGCGGAAUUCCUAGUGUAGCGGUGAAAUGCGUAGAUAUUAGGAGGAACACCGGUGGCGAAGGCGGCCUGCUGGACUGUAACUGACACUGAGGCUCGAAAGCGUGGGGAGCAAACAGG
Molecule: unclassified non-coding RNA, 253 nt
Filed under: uncultured Lachnospiraceae bacterium
Lineage: Bacteria; Bacillati; Bacillota; Clostridia; Lachnospirales; Lachnospiraceae
Description: contains 16S-23S intergenic spacer region
Rfam family: Bacterial small subunit ribosomal RNA
Source: RNAcentral